AGAUUAAGUUAUUAAGGGCGCACGGUGGAUGCCUUGGCACUAGAAGCCGAUGAAGGACGUUACUAACGACGAUAUGCUUUGGGGAGCUGUAAGUAAGCUUUGAUCCAGAGAUUUCCGAAUGGGGGAACCCAGCACGAGUUAUGUCGUGUUAUCCGCAUGUGAAUACAUAGCAUGUGAGAAGGUAGACCCGGAGAACUGAAACAUCUUAGUACCCGGAGGAAGAGAAAGAAAAAUCGAUUCCCUGAGUAGCGGCGAGCGAAACGGGAAGAGCCCAAACCAACAAGCUUGCUUGUUGGGGUUGUAGGACACUCUUAUGGAGUUACAAAAGAAUGAGUUAGACGAAUAACCUGGAAAGGUUAAUCAGAGAAGGUAAUAAUCCUGUAGUCGAAAACUGAUUCUCUCUUGAGUGGAUCCUGAGUACGACGGAGCACGUGAAAUUCCGUCGGAAUCUGGGAGGACCAUCUCCUAAGGCUAAAUACUCUCUAGUGACCGAUAGUGAACCAGUACCGUGAGGGAAAGGUGAAAAGUACCCCGGAAGGGGAGUGAAAGAGAACUUGAAACCGUGUGCUUACAAGUAGUCAGAGCCCGUUAAGGGGUGAUGGCGUGCCUUUUGUAGAAUGAACCGGCGAGUUACGAUCUGAUGCAAGGUUAAGCAGGAAAUGUGGAGCCGUAGCGAAAGCGAGUCUGAAUAGGGCGAAUGAGUAUUUGGUCGUAGACCCGAAACCAGGUGAUCUACCCUUGGUCAGGUUGAAGUUCAGGUAACACUGAAUGGAGGACCGAACCGACUUACGUUGAAAAGUGAGCGGAUGAACUGAGGGUAGCGGAGAAAUUCCAAUCGAACUUGGAGAUAGCUGGUUCUCUCCGAAAUAGCUUUAGGGCUAGCCUCAAGUGAUGAUUAUUGGAGGUAGAGCACUGUUUGGACGAGGGGCCCCUCUCGGGUUACCGAAUUCAGACAAACUCCGAAUGCCAAAUAAUUUAACUUGGGAGUCAGAACGUGGGUGAUAAGGUCCAUGUUCGAAAGGGAAACAGCCCAGACCACCAGCUAAGGUCCCAAAAUAUAUGUUAAGUGGAAAAGGAUGUGGCGUUGCCCAGACAACUAGGAUGUUGGCUUAGAAGCAGCCAUCAUUUAAAGAGUGCGUAAUAGCUCACUAGUCGAGUGACACUGCGCCGAAAAUGUACCGGGGCUAAACAUAUUACCGAAGCUGUGGAUUGUCCUUUGGACAAUGGUAGGAGAGCGUUCUAAGGGCGUUGAAGCAUGAUCGCAAGGACAUGUGGAGCGCUUAGAAGUGAGAAUGCCGGUGUGAGUAGCGAAAGACGGGUGAGAAUCCCGUCCACCGAUUGACUAAGGUUUCCAGAGGAAGGCUCGUCCGCUCUGGGUUAGUCGGGUCCUAAGCUGAGGCCGACAGGCGUAGGCGAUGGAUAACAGGUUGAUAUUCCUGUACCACCAACAAUCGUUUUAAGCGAUGGGGGGACGCAGUAGGAUAGGCGAAGCGUGCUGUUGGAGUGCACGUCCAAGCAGUGAGACUGAGUGUUAGGCAAAUCCGGCACUCAAAAGGUCAAGCUGUGAUGGGAAGAGGAAAUUGCUUCCUCGAGUCGUUGAUUUCACACUGCCGAGAAAAGCCUCUAGCUAGAAAGUUGGUGCCCGUACCGCAAACCGACACAGGUAGUC
RNAcentral lists this ribosomal RNA (1669 nucleotides) under Staphylococcus felis. RNAcentral's name for it is "bacterial LSU rRNA". It matches the Rfam family "Bacterial large subunit ribosomal RNA", at positions 1 to 1668 of the family's 2925-position model. Lineage: Bacteria; Bacillati; Bacillota; Bacilli; Caryophanales; Staphylococcaceae. The record is from RNAcentral.